CAAAAAAAUAACACGUGGAUAACCUACCUAUAAGACUUGGAUAACUUCGGGAAACCGGAGCUAAUACCGGAUAAUAUAUUUAACCUCAUUGUUCAAUAGUUAAAUACGGUUUUGCUGUCACUUAUAGAUGGUUCCGCGCCGCAUUAGCUAGUUGGUAAGGUAACGGCUUACCAAGGCAACGAUUCGUAGCCGACCUGAGAGGGUGAUCGGCGAAACGGGAACUGAGACACGGUCAAGACUACUAAGGGAGGCAGCAGUAGGGAAUAUUACGCAAUGGGCGAAAGCCUGACGGAGCAAAGACGCGUGAGUGAUGAAGGUCUUUGGUUUUUUAAAUGAUACGACGACCACAGAAAUAAACACGUAAGG
Molecule: ribosomal RNA, 366 nt
Filed under: uncultured bacterium
Lineage: Bacteria
Description: partial 16S ribosomal RNA
Rfam family: Bacterial small subunit ribosomal RNA
Source: RNAcentral